AACCUUGAAUGGUUACAGCGGCC
This 23-nucleotide non-coding RNA is filed under the name Arabidopsis thaliana (thale cress). Lineage: Eukaryota; Viridiplantae; Streptophyta; Magnoliopsida; Brassicales; Brassicaceae. The record is from RNAcentral.